AUUCUUAUCUCCUUUUACCCAAAAUAAAAAGACGACUAAUAAGCCGUCUAUUUGAUAUUUAUAUUAUGGUGUGUUAAUUUAUAUAUAGAAAAAGGGCAACAUGCGCAAACAUGUUACCCUAAUGAGCCCGUUAAAAAGACGGUGGCUAUUUUAGAUUAAAGAUUAAAUUAAUAACCAUUUAACCAUCGAAACCAGCCAAAGUUAGCGAUGG
This 211-nucleotide unclassified non-coding RNA is filed under the name Staphylococcus aureus subsp. aureus USA300_TCH1516. RNAcentral's name for it is "noncoding RNA SprF/SprG". Lineage: Bacteria; Bacillati; Bacillota; Bacilli; Caryophanales; Staphylococcaceae. The record is from RNAcentral.